This 253-nucleotide ribosomal RNA is filed under the name uncultured bacterium. RNAcentral's name for it is "partial 16S ribosomal RNA". It matches the Rfam family "Bacterial small subunit ribosomal RNA", at positions 524 to 776 of the family's 1533-position model. The record is from RNAcentral.
UACGUAGGGCGCAAGCGUUAUCCGGAAUUACUGGGCGUAAAGGGCUCGUAGGCGGCCAACUAAGUCGGAUGUGAAAUCCCCAGGCUUAACCUGGGAAUUGCAUUGAGGACUGGUGUGCUCGAGUGCGGCAGAGGGGGGUGGAAUUCCACGUGUAGCAGUGAAAUGCGUAGAGAUGUGGAGGAACACCGAUGGCGAAGGCAGCCCCCUGGGCCGACACUGACGCUCAUGCACGAAAGCGUGGGGAGCAAACAGG